Non-coding RNA from Xyrichtys novacula (pearly razorfish), 341 nucleotides. Lineage: Eukaryota; Metazoa; Chordata; Actinopteri; Labriformes; Labridae. The record is from the annotation of a GenBank genome assembly.
CCACUCUGUCCAGACCAGUAGACACUUUAGUGGAGAUGGGAAUGAACCAAGGGUAAGUGCAAUAUUUAUUUUUAUCUACAAAACAAACCAUGUUUGCAUGGUGUGAAAUACGAUCUGCCUAAAACAUGUAGUGUUUUAUUUUGAAAAGAAGCCAGAUGUUUUAUUUUGUGUCUGUGCCUGACUUCCUUUCCAGCACGGGCUAAUUUGUGCUGAGUUUGUGCGGCAUGCUGCGGCGUCCCGAAAAAAUAGAACCCUGGCGAUCGACUACGAAGCCCACCAAACCACAGGGGGCUGGAAAGAAGCCGGUGGAAUUUUAACUCGAAUGGAAACGAUCAGCGGGG